GUUGUGGCUAAGGCAAACCGAUUAGAUUCUCUAAACGAUCAUUUGGACAUGACAUCAUAAAACUUGAGGCUCAAAUUUCUCUCUUUCAACUCCACCAUUUUCUCUCUUCAUUUCCACAGCACAUAAAAGAAAAACACACACACACACACAUAGUGACCCAAUAAAGAAAUGCCACUUCUUCAAGCUCCAUCUUCUACUACUCUCACUUUUCAUCACUUCACUUCACAACCCAGAGCAGGAUUAUAUGUAGCUGACAAGUCUUUUCUUCAGGCCACUUUCAGUGGUUCUUGUUUUUCGUCUCAAAGAUAUGUGAAAGCCUUGAACUUAUUGUAUACCAGUUCAAGUUUGAGCUCAUUUACAUCUAAAGCUGCUUCAAACGGAGCUUAUGGUCCUUCAGUGUCAGGCCAAACAGCCGAGUCUGAAGUUCUAAAAGCCCUAUCCCAGAUAAUUGAUCCUGAUUUUGGGACGGACAUAGUGUCUUGUGGAUUCGUGAAGGACCUCGUGGUUGAUGACAAUCCGGGAGAGGUGUCAUUUCGGUUAGAGCUUACUACACCAGCAUGUCCGAUCAAGGACAUGUUUGAGCAGAAGGCGAACGAGGUGAUUGCUGAACUUCCUUGGGUUAAAAAGGUCAAUGUGACAAUGUCAGCCCAACCAGCAAAACCUAUAUAUGCUGGACAGCUUCCUGCCGGUCUACAAACAAUCUCCAACAUAAUUGCUGUUUCUAGUUGCAAGGGAGGGGUUGGUAAAUCAACUGUAGCUGUCAACCUAGCUUACACUUUGGCUGAUAUGGGUGCUAGAGUUGGUAUAUUUGAUGCAGAUGUAUAUGGUCCUAGUUUGCCAACCAUGGUGUCCCCAGAAAACCGGAUACUUGAGAUGAAUGCAGAGAAAAGAACCAUCAUUCCAACUGAGUACAUGGGUGUUAAGUUGGUAUCUUUUGGAUUUGCUGGGCAAGGGCGUGCAAUUAUGCGAGGUCCCAUGGUCUCUGGGGUGAUUAACCAACUUUUGACUACUACAGAAUGGGGAGAAUUGGACUAUCUUGUUAUUGAUAUGCCCCCUGGAACUGGUGAUAUUCAACUUACUCUAUGCCAGGUUGUUCCUUUGACUGCUGCAGUUAUUGUUACUACACCUCAAAAGCUAGCAUUUAUAGAUGUCGCGAAAGGGGUCCGCAUGUUCUCAAAGCUUAAGGUUCCUUGCGUUGCCGUAGUUGAGAACAUGUGCCACUUCAAUGCUGAUGGAAAACGUUACUACCCCUUUGGCAGGGGUUCAGGGUCUCAGGUUGUCCAGCAGUUUGGAAUACCCCAUCUAUUUGAUCUCCCAAUCCAACCAGCUCUAUCUGCUUCUGGAGAUAGUGGAAUUCCUGAAGUGGUGGCUGAUCCUCAAGGUGAAGUUUCUAGAACGUUCCAAGAGUUAGGCGUGUGUGUAGUACAACAGUGUGCCAAGAUUCGUCAACAAGUAUCAACUGCAGUGAGUUAUGAUAGAUCUUUCAAGGCGAUCAAGGUCAAAGUACCUGAUUCCGAUGAAGAGUUUUAUUUGCACCCUGCAACUGUAAGAAGAAAUGAUCGGUCUGCCCAAAGUGUGGAUGAAUGGACGGGUGAACAGAAACUGCAAUAUUCUGAUAUUCCAGACGAUAUUGAACCUGAAGAGAUUCGGCCUUUGGGAAACUAUGCUGUGGAAAUAACCUGGCCAGACGGAUUUAACCAGAUUGCUCCUUAUGACCAGCUGCAAAUGAUGGAGCGCUUGGUUGAAGUUCCUCAACUUACUCCUGCAUAGGUAAAUGACCGUCAUGUAGUUGAGGGCGUGGCCUUAAGGAUGUGUUUGGUAUGGCGACUUUCAUCACACCAAGGAUGAAUUAAAGAUCCAAAAUCAGAUACAAAUACAAUUUGGAAGAUCAUUGCUCUUCUACCUUGCCAAAGUCACAACAAAAUUACAGCUAGCUGGAACUACAAGGACUUCAGUGAUGUUCCAUUUUAACUAUCUGUAGAUAGUAAUCUUCAGUACCAUUUGUUCAUAGUAUUAUUUUUGUAGCAAUCUUCACUAGUGUGUAACAUUUUGUCACAACAGUCUAUGCUUCAUUAUUGUUGUAGAGCACGCUCCCGUGCUUGUACCUUGGUCAGUCAGCAAAAGAAAAGGUGAUAGAAUGAAUUGGUGGUAUAAUCAAACCUUAAAAUUGCGGAGAUAA
Molecule: RNA transcript, 2179 nt
Organism: Lycium barbarum (goji berry)
Lineage: Eukaryota; Viridiplantae; Streptophyta; Magnoliopsida; Solanales; Solanaceae
Gene name: fe-S cluster assembly factor HCF101, chloroplastic
Exons: 16
Source: RefSeq, a predicted model, not a curated record